This 77-nucleotide transfer RNA is filed under the name Zymobacter palmae. Its description in RNAcentral is "tRNA-Arg". It matches the Rfam family "tRNA". From Rfam's summary of the family: Transfer RNA (tRNA) molecules are approximately 80 nucleotides in length. RNAcentral also lists the same sequence under 3 other names. Lineage: Bacteria; Pseudomonadati; Pseudomonadota; Gammaproteobacteria; Oceanospirillales; Halomonadaceae. The record is from RNAcentral.
GCGCCCGUAGCUCAGCUGGAUAGAGUACUUGACUACGAAUCAAGGGGUCAGAGGUUCGAAUCCUCUCGGGCGCGCCA